This 73-nucleotide transfer RNA is filed under the name Camelus ferus (Wild Bactrian camel). It matches the Rfam family "tRNA". From Rfam's summary of the family: Transfer RNA (tRNA) molecules are approximately 80 nucleotides in length. Their secondary structure includes four short double-helical elements and three loops (D, anti-codon, and T loops). The record is from Rfam by way of RNAcentral. Lineage: Eukaryota; Metazoa; Chordata; Mammalia; Artiodactyla; Camelidae.
GCAGGUAUAGCUCAAGUGGUAGAGUGAGAGCUUAGCAUUCACAAGGUCCUGGGUUCAAUCCCCAGUACCUCCU